AACGAACGCUGGCGGCAGGCUUAACACAUGCAAGUCGAACGGUGAAGGUGGAGCUUGCUCCGCCGGAUCAGUGGCGAACGGGUGAGUAACACGUGGGCAACCUGCCCCUAACUUUGGGAUAACUACUCGAAAGAGUAGCUAAUACCGGAUAUGAAGUCUGUAGGCAUCUAUGGAUUUGGAAAGUUUUUCGGUUAGGGAUGGGCCCGCGGCCUAUCAGCUUGUUGGUGAGGUAGUGGCUCACCAAGGCGACGACGGGUAGCCGGCCUGAGAGGGCGACCGGCCACACUGGGACUGAGACACGGCCCAGACUCCUACGGGAGGCAGCAGUGGGGAAUAUUGCGCAAUGGGCGAAAGCCUGACGCAGCAACGCCGCGUGCGGGAUGAAGGCCUUCGGGUUGUAAACCGCUUUCAGCAGGGAAGAAGCGAAAGUGACGGUACCUGCAGAAGAAGCACCGGCUAACUACGUGCCAGCCGCCGCGGUAA
Molecule: ribosomal RNA, 483 nt
Filed under: uncultured bacterium
Lineage: Bacteria
Description: partial 16S ribosomal RNA
Rfam family: Bacterial small subunit ribosomal RNA
Source: RNAcentral